GACAGAGGUGCCAAGCGUUAGGCGGAAUCACUGGGCUUAAAGCGUGUGUAGGCGGGUGCCUAAGUACCUUGUGAAAUCCCACGGCUCAACCGUGGAACUGCUGGGUAUACUGGGUGCCUUGGGUCAUCUAGGGGCUGCCGGAACAAAUGGUGGAGCGGUGAAAUGCGUAGAUAUCAUUUGGAACGCCAACGGCGAAAGCAGGCAGCUGGGGGAUGCACCGACGCUGAGACACGAAAGCCAGGGGAGCGAACGGG
This 254-nucleotide ribosomal RNA is filed under the name uncultured bacterium. Its description in RNAcentral is "partial 16S ribosomal RNA". It matches the Rfam family "Bacterial small subunit ribosomal RNA", at positions 524 to 776 of the family's 1533-position model. The record is from RNAcentral.